Long non-coding RNA from Alnus glutinosa, 212 nucleotides. RefSeq lists it as uncharacterized. The record is from RefSeq and is a predicted model, not a curated record. Lineage: Eukaryota; Viridiplantae; Streptophyta; Magnoliopsida; Fagales; Betulaceae. The transcript has 3 exons.
GAGAGAGAGAGAGAGAGAGAGAGAGAGAGAGAGAGAGAGGGAAGAAGAAAUAGGAAGAAAAGAGUUUUUCAAGGUCUCUCUCCUGAUCUUGAUUUGGCAGCAGUUCAAAAACAUUAUCCAUCUGAGGUUGAAAACAAAGGAUUUAAAGGCCAGAGACCAAAAUAAUCGAAAUACACAUUUCUGUCCAAUCCUCAAACAUUAAGGUGGCGGCG